GACGAACGCUGGCGGCGUGCUUAACACAUGCAAGUCGAACGGAAAGGCCCUGCUUUUGUGGGGUGCUCGAGUGGCGAACGGGUGAGUAACACGUGAGUAACCUGCCCUUGACUUUGGGAUAACUUCAGGAAACUGGGGCUAAUACCGGAUAGGAGCUCCUGCUGCAUGGUGGGGGUUGGAAAGUUUCGGCGGUUGGGGAUGGACUCGCGGCUUAUCAGCUUGUUGGCGGGGUAGUGGCUUACCAAGGCUUUGACGGGUAGCCGGCCUGAGAGGGUGACCGGCCACAUUGGGACUGAGAUACGGCCCAGACUCCUACGGGAGGCAGCAGUGGGGAAUAUUGCACAAUGGGCGGAAGCCUGAUGCAGCAACGCCGCGUGCGGGAUGACGGCCUUCGGGUUGUAAACCGCUUUCGCCUGUGACGAAGCGUGAGUGACGGUAAUGGGUAAAGAAGCACCAGCUAACUACGUG
This 468-nucleotide ribosomal RNA is filed under the name uncultured bacterium. RNAcentral's name for it is "partial 16S ribosomal RNA". It matches the Rfam family "Bacterial small subunit ribosomal RNA", at positions 28 to 507 of the family's 1533-position model. The record is from RNAcentral.